GAACUCUUCGGAGGGAAGGCAGCGGAAUGAGCGGCGGACGGGUGAGUAACACGUAAGGAACCUGCCUCAAGGAUUGGGAUAACUCCGAGAAAUCGGAGCUAAUACCGGAUAGUUCAACGGACCGCAUGGUCCGCUGAUGAAAGGCGCUUCGGCGUCACCUUGAGAUGGCCUUGCGGUGCAUUAGCUAGUUGGUGGGGUAACGGCCCACCAAGGCGACGAUGCAUAGCCGACCUGAGAGGGUGAUCGGCCACACUGGGACUGAGACACGGCCCAGACUCCUACGGGAGGCAGCAGUAGGGAAUCUUCCACAAUGGACGAAAGUCUGAUGGAGCAACGCCGCGUGAGUGAUGAAGGUUUUCGGAUCGUAAAACUCUGUUGUAAGGGAAGAACACGUACGAGAGGUAAUGCUCGUACCUUGACGGUACCUUACGAGAAAGCCACGGCUAACUACGUGCCAGCAGCCGCGGUAAUACGUAGGUGGCAAGCGUUGUCCGGAAUUAUUGGGCGUAAAGCGCGCGCAGGCGGCCUUUUAAGUCUGAUGUGAAAGCCCCCGGCUCAACCGGGGAGGGCCAUUGGAAACUGGAAGGCUUGAGUACAGAAGAGAAGAGUGGAAUUCCACGUGUAGCGGUGAAAUGCGUAGAGAUGUGGAGGAACACCAGUGGCGAAGGCGACUCUUUGGUCUGUAACUGACGCUGAGG
RNAcentral lists this ribosomal RNA (698 nucleotides) under Exiguobacterium acetylicum. RNAcentral describes it as "bacterial SSU rRNA". It matches the Rfam family "Bacterial small subunit ribosomal RNA", at positions 68 to 751 of the family's 1533-position model. The record is from RNAcentral. Lineage: Bacteria; Bacillati; Bacillota; Bacilli; Caryophanales.